GCUCUGGUGGCCAAGUUGGUAAGGCGCAGCACUAGUACGAAAUGCUGAGACCCUCCGUUCAACUCCGAGUCAGAGCA
RNAcentral lists this transfer RNA (77 nucleotides) under Morchella conica CCBAS932. RNAcentral describes it as "tRNA-Thr". It matches the Rfam family "tRNA". From Rfam's summary of the family: Transfer RNA (tRNA) molecules are approximately 80 nucleotides in length. Their secondary structure includes four short double-helical elements and three loops (D, anti-codon, and T loops). Further hydrogen bonds mediate the characteristic L-shaped molecular structure. tRNAs have two regions of fundamental functional importance: the anti-codon, which is responsible for specific mRNA codon recognition, and the 3' end, to which the tRNAs corresponding amino acid is attached (by aminoacyl-tRNA synthetases). tRNAs cope with the degeneracy of the genetic code in two manners: having more than one tRNA (with a specific anti-codon) for a particular amino acid; and 'wobble' base-pairing, i.e. permitting non-standard base-pairing at the 3rd anti-codon position. The record is from RNAcentral. Lineage: Eukaryota; Fungi; Ascomycota; Pezizomycetes; Pezizales; Morchellaceae.